Molecule: small RNA, 544 nt
Filed under: Pongo abelii (Sumatran orangutan)
Lineage: Eukaryota; Metazoa; Chordata; Mammalia; Primates; Hominidae
Description: processed transcript
Source: RNAcentral
ACACCCUCAUCUUCCAGCAGUGAGGGUAGACUAUUAAGGCUCUCAUGUCAUCAAGGAUCAAGGCAAUGGGUUAAUGGAGACUCUAGACGUUUGUUUCCUCACCAGUGAAAAUUAAAUGAAGACCCAGGAAUCACUACAGCUAUAGGGAUGAGAAGGACAUUUCAGCAGCUAGAGUGUGGUGAAGUAUGGCAGGCACACAGGCCUGAGACUGGAAUAUGGCUUCCUACUUCUUCCUCUGCAAAUUAAAGACAGCAAGCCCCAGGGUGCUAAUCCAACUGAGUUGCCACUCCAGCUACAAUUAGCGAAGCUGAACAACAAAGGAGAGACGGAAAACCUGCCCCUAAAUGAGGAAUCCUAACCUCGUGUGUUUUCCAGUGAAGCGAAUUACAAAGGCAUUAUUUACUCGGGAGAAAAAAGUAUAGGAAACUAAAGAAAAUACUGAAGAUCAUCUCAAAUGGUGACAAUCUUUUUCAAUCUCAUCUACACUUCAAUUUUGGAAUAGUCUAUAAUAUUUGAGAAUUAACAGAAAUAUUGCAAGAUAAAA